Bolinopsis microptera is the source of this 188-nucleotide long non-coding RNA. RefSeq lists it as uncharacterized. The record is from RefSeq and is a predicted model, not a curated record. The transcript is spliced from 2 exons. NCBI's taxonomy places the organism in Eukaryota, Metazoa, Ctenophora, Tentaculata, Lobata, Bolinopsidae.
CCAAGGCUUCUAUCUUUUAAACAAAAUGACUGACGGAGAUAAGACUGAUCUUUCCGCUGUGACCGAGUUCGACAAGGCUGCUCUCAAGAAGGUCGAAACCGUCGAGAAAACCGCCCUGCCAACGAAGGAAGAUAUCGAAGCCGAGAAAGCCGAAGCCUCAUAAUAUGGGAAUCAUUUUGUGGAGUUAA